Molecule: long non-coding RNA, 978 nt
Filed under: Hordeum vulgare
Lineage: Eukaryota; Viridiplantae; Streptophyta; Magnoliopsida; Poales; Poaceae
Description: long non-coding RNA (HVUL_LNC006957)
Source: RNAcentral
UGUUACACCUGUUAUACCUACUAGACGAGUUACUAGAGCUCGUGCACGCGAAUUGAAGUACCACAUACUUUCGUUUCUUGGAAAUCUUUCUAAUGUUCAUGAACAUAUGAUGUUGCCUAAAUUAGAUACUUUUGUUUUUCUUAUGAAUGAAUGACCUAGCAUGGACAAGGAGGAUAAGCAUUGGAGCGGGAUCAAGCAUGGAGGGAAAGGUGCACAUGCGGCAAAGAACAAGGGAGCUUCCAGUGGUGAUUUUCGGACUUUAAAGCCACCAUAAGGAAAGCAUGAAGGCUUGGACAAAAUAUACAAGAUGUCAUUUCAUAAAUUUUUUCCAUAGGCUAUUAUAGGUGUUGCGUCACCUUAUUUUUGGGCCAGGACCAUGCAAUUUUGAAAUACUACUAUGUAGGAUGUUUUUAGAGUCCGUGUGUGUGGAGAACUGUGUUUAGGGUAGUUUUCGGACCCCUAUUCGAAGGGUCACAAAAAUCCCUCUCUAUUCCCUCAUAUAUACAACCCUUAGGGCACCGUUUAGACUUAGGUUUUGUUGAUAUUACAAGUUCGCUAUAGCUGCAACUUCACGUUCUUCGUUUGUGUUCCACGGCCAGACAAAGGCGUCACAGGCCCCACUUUCAUCAAUAAAGCUUUCCUCUUAUAUUCGCAAUAUCCAGAUUGAAAUCUUAGUUUCUUGCUUGUUAUUCGUUUACGUGCAGGAAACAGACCCUUGUGGUCAGGUUGAUCAUGCUUCGGCGUGGUCAAUAACCUCUCGGAGUUGGUUUAGUGAUUGCUAAGACGCGACGUCCUCACACUUUUGUAGUUGGAUCGUCAAGUCUACUCCACCAAAAUUGAUAACCACCAUCUCAUCGAAAGACGGGGACCCUCGCCUCUAUCAAAAAGAUAUGGCCAACACAAGAUGAUAUGUCAUGAAUGCCAAACGUAUGCAAAUUACAACCUCAAGCAUGUUAAAACAUCGAUGCAACAAUAUAU